AUACGAAAGAUGCAAGCGUUGUUCGGAUUUACUGGGCGUAAAGAGAGUGUAGGUUGUUUAUUAAGUCGGAUGUGAAAUCCCGGGGCUCAACCUCGGAACUGCAUUCGAUACUGAUAGGCUAGAGUUUGGGAGGGGUAAGCGGAAUUCCGUGUGUAGCAGUGAAAUGCGUAGAUAUACGGAGGAACACCUGAGGCGAAGGCGGCUUACUGGACCAAUACUGACACUGAGACUCGAAAGCGUGGGUAGCAAACAGGAUUAGAAACCCUAGUAGUCC
RNAcentral lists this ribosomal RNA (274 nucleotides) under uncultured bacterium. RNAcentral's name for it is "partial 16S ribosomal RNA". It matches the Rfam family "Bacterial small subunit ribosomal RNA", at positions 523 to 796 of the family's 1533-position model. The record is from RNAcentral.